UACAGGUGCAUGGGGAGACAGGCACACCUCCCUGAUUUUCUCGAGCUUGAUAAGUGGGGUUUGUAGAGCUACAGGCCUACAAGUUCAGCCUGGGGAGGCACCGGAGAAACCAAGUCCAUAUAUCAAGUGCCUCACACUCGAGGCCUAGGACCGAGCUAAAAUUAAAUAUUAACAGAAGUUGGAAAAUGAGCACCGUCGACAGCAACAUGCUAAAGAAGGGCAAGCAGCUGAGGACUUGAAAAUGCCACAAGCUCCGCCACCACCGGCUGACAUGGAUACCCAGUUAUUGAGGCAAAUGUUUGCCACUAUGACUGGACAUAACCGAAACAUGCAGCAUCUUUAGCACUCAUUUGGAGCAUUGAGUGCCACCAUCCAGCAGGUGUAGACCGAUAUGUCAACCACGCGAAACUUUGUUUCCACUGCCAGCAGUGAGUCCCUUGCGGUAUGAUGACAGAUGAGUACCUUUGACGGGCGAUUGGGCAUGUACGUUGGCAGGAUGGAUGGUAUACAGUGGCGGGUAAACGAGACUUUGGACCAUCUAGGGAGUUUGGAGACAAGGGUCAGGUGGAGCAGACCCAGCAGUCUACCAUGUUGAGAGAGAUCUCGUCCCGCCUUCCUCCCCCUCUUGGAGAUGAUGAUGCCAGACCCAACCUUCCGUCACAGCCACCAUUUUGAUUAGG
RNAcentral lists this long non-coding RNA (680 nucleotides) under Olea europaea subsp. europaea. The record is from RNAcentral. Lineage: Eukaryota; Viridiplantae; Streptophyta; Magnoliopsida; Lamiales; Oleaceae.